AUGUACAUUCGUAAGAUCAUGUGGCGACAUGUGCAAAAUUGUUCUGCAAAGAAGUUCUCAGAACCUCAACCACGUAGAAAAAAUAGAAUGUUAACUGUGGUUGCUGCUGCAGAGUCAACAAGCACCCAACACGUCUCAUCAGAUGUGAGGAAGAUGUUAAACACACUGAAGAAUGAUAAGAUUUCAUCUGAAGUCUGGAAUGAUUCCUUUAUACUGCAGCUGGCACAGAGUUUCUACUCUAAGAAGAAAAGGAAAACAAAACAAUUGGAUUAUGUCAAACUGAGGCUGAGGCAAAUGGGACGACUCCUGCUAACAUUAAAGACAAAGUCGAUUUGUAGCUUUAAAGAAGCUAUCAAACCCCAAAACUUCAGCAAAGUUGUUGAAGCUGUGAGAAAGCUCAGUGGCUUCAAUGAAGAGACAAAGUCCUGUGAUACACCAAGUCUUAUGAAGAAUUUGGGAAAGUCGCUGAAGAGAAUUGGUGACAUUAACUUUGCCAGAGCUUGGACAGAUGAUGCUGAUAGAGAGACGAUCCAGGAUGCAAAGACAUUCAUGCACUUGUGUGACAAAGAAUGGGGCUUUGUCACUUUAAAAAAAACAAAAGUAAACAACACGACAACCAUACCGUUCAUACAUGACGUGCAGCUUUUCUAUCGGUGCAUGGAGAAGACCGCAGCUUCUGCAGUAAAAAGUCUAACAAUGUACCAAAGCUCUCCGGUUUACACUGCGCUUCUUACAGUGACAGUUGCACAAAUGUCAGUCUUAAACAAAAAUAUGGCUGAAGUUUCAAAAGUGACGCUCAAGUCAUUCAAGGAACGGGACGAGACCGAGCUCCAUGAAGGCGCUGCUGUUGGCCAGUCACAGUUUGAACAAAUUAUGUCCAAGCACACUGUGAAGAUCAACGUUAUGAGCAAAAGGGGCCAAAAGGUUGCUGUUACAUUGACCCCUAAAGUGCUCACAGCAUUAACACUGCUUGUGUACAAGAGAGAAGCAUGUGGUGUACAUGUAAACAAUCCCUUCUUAUUUGCAAGAUCUGAUGCAAGCCGUACAGGCUUCCACCGGGGACACCGGUGCGUCACCACUUUCGUAGCUCGUAGUGGUGUAAAGAACACGGCGAACUUCCGGUUUGUGUUUUUUCAUAAACUCAUUGCAACAGUUUUCCAGAUUGUCAGCCUCACGAAUGACGAGCUUGAUCAGCUAGCCAAACUGUUGGGCCGUGACAUUCAGACCAACAGAGAGUAUUAUCAGACGCCAGAGGCAGCUGUUGACAUUGUAAAGAUCUCAGAGCUACUAUCAGCAAUGGAGAAUGGAUCUCUUGAAAGAUUUGAAGGGAAAUCUCUCGAGGAAAUUGAGAUUCCAGGUAUGUGUCCAGUUCUGUACUCAAAGGUGUUGAUGUGGAGUCUUUUUUAA
RNAcentral lists this long non-coding RNA (1407 nucleotides) under Cottoperca gobio. Its description in RNAcentral is "lncRNA (ENSCGOG00000017492.1)". The record is from RNAcentral. Lineage: Eukaryota; Metazoa; Chordata; Actinopteri; Perciformes; Bovichtidae.